GUACUACAUCCAGUGCCCAAGAUUUGUAACCACGUUAAUCUGUUAGAAGCCUAGAUGUGUGACUGGAGAUGCCUCCUGUCCAUUCAAUCUGACUCCAAUGUGGUUCUGCAGCACUGGACAAAGAUGGGAGAUUGAAACAGGAGCCCCUGCGAUGGGGGAACAGAGCCAGGGAGCAGGGGUUGGACAGGUAAGCCUCCAUAUACCAAGCCCUUCAACUCCUGGAGUUACAGUUAUCCCUCCUUUGUUCAUUAAUGAUUCACCAUGUACCCACUGCCAAUGGUGGGCUUUCUAAACACUGCACUCUACAUGAGAGAUAGAAAGAUGACAAAGACAUAUUCCCUUCCCUCAAGAACCCAGGUUUGAGAAAACAACCUUGUGAACCUUCUAUUGGAGCAGCAAUAAAGAUCUGAGCUAAGUGUCGAGGGAGGCUGAGGAGGUGGUCACUAAGUCUGUCUUAGGCAUCCCAGGGUCUCCUCAGAGUCCAAGCCUGAAGUCCACUGCAGGGGUCACCAGCCACCUGUGGCCACAUUGGAAUGUGGCCAUUCUGAAUUGAGGUAAGUAAAAAACAUACACCAAAUUUCAAAG
This 585-nucleotide long non-coding RNA is filed under the name Homo sapiens (human). RNAcentral's name for it is "non-protein coding lnc-LOX-2:2". The record is from RNAcentral. Lineage: Eukaryota; Metazoa; Chordata; Mammalia; Primates; Hominidae.